UCCACCACCUCCUGCCGCGCAGCCUCGUCACAUCACGGUGCGUAUGCAAGGCGUGGCCGCCAUCGUCGACGGCCGCCGGCUGCUGCUCAAAUCCUCUCAAUCCUGGAAGAUAUUUGAUUGCUUUGAUGUUGAUCCUAUUGGAUCCGCUUUGAUAGUUGGUGGGACUUCGUCGAUCUCCCCAUCUUCCGUUGUGACGCAAUCGCUCCCCGGCAAUCUACUCUUCUCCUCCCAUUCGAUUCCACUCCUACACCACCCAAACCACCUCGAUGGCGUCUACUGUGUUUGUUCUCCCGCAACUUAUGGCUACAAUAGUUCCAAGAUUAAUCCCCGCAGAGUACUCCUACAUUGCUCCAAAAUAUCAUUGAAUCAAUCUUACAAUCCCCGCAUAGUACUCCUUACGAGGGAGGGCAAGGUGCUUCGGUUCUUGGAUGACCUUUGAAGGAAUUGGGAGCAAGGAGGCGUGGGAAAGGGGUGAACCGAGUGGUCGACAUCGGCUACAGCGAACCAGUGGAGCAGCAACGGAGCACUGGCCACGGCAGCACCACAUGGAAAGGGGAAAGGCAAGGUCGCCGAGCUUGAGUAGGAGGCUUUUGAUGAAGCCAUCUCGAAGCUGGACACCCUGAGCGAGGAGUCCUACAUGAACACCACUUUGAUCAUGCAACUCCUUCAUGCACACUUGAUCCUCUGGACUUCCGAUAUCUCAGUAAUCUUCCAUUUCUCAAACAUAAAGUUCUGCUCACACUCUUUACUUUAUCCUGAAAUCACCCCGAUUCCUUAAAAG
Phragmites australis (common reed) is the source of this 781-nucleotide long non-coding RNA. RefSeq lists it as uncharacterized. The record is from RefSeq and is a predicted model, not a curated record. The transcript is spliced from 4 exons. NCBI's taxonomy places the organism in Eukaryota, Viridiplantae, Streptophyta, Magnoliopsida, Poales, Poaceae.